RNAcentral lists this long non-coding RNA (306 nucleotides) under Elaeis guineensis (African oil palm). Its description in RNAcentral is "long non-coding RNA (EGUI_LNC059369)". The record is from RNAcentral. Lineage: Eukaryota; Viridiplantae; Streptophyta; Magnoliopsida; Arecales; Arecaceae.
GAUCUAGGGAUUUUCUGAUCUUAGAAAAUAAAUUUUGAUUUAUUUUAGUCUUCCGCUGUAUGAUCUUGAAAAAGUUUCAAGAUCUAACCCUGAAACCCUAGAUCUGGUUCCUACACAGAUGAAGUCUACCUGCAAUAGAAAUUCGGGGCAGAGGUCCGGCUCCCGUAGGAGCUCGGAUGAAAUCAAAAAGGUGAUCGACCAUCGUAGAAAUAUGGGUGGAGUCGGGUUGCUAUAGAAAUCUAUCCUUGGGGAAGUUCGGUCGUGGACGAAGUCUGGGAAAUUCGGAUUGGAAUCUAUCAUGGCUGG